Molecule: long non-coding RNA, 1717 nt
Organism: Ictalurus punctatus (channel catfish)
Lineage: Eukaryota; Metazoa; Chordata; Actinopteri; Siluriformes; Ictaluridae
Source: Ensembl
GUUUGAUCACAGAGCGCGCAGUAGCCAUUAGAAAUCAUGCAAAAACCUGAAGCUGUGGAGUAGAGAGGGGUGGGGCCUGCUGGGUUUAUAGGCUGAGAGCCCUUUCUGAAAAUAACACUCUUUUGGAUUAUAACGCAUUUCUUUGGAUGAAUAUACAGUGCCAAAGAACAAAAUGAAGCUGGGUCUCUUUACUGUGUUGUUGUUUGCCAUGCAGUGGAGAGGUAGCAUGAUAACAGCAGGACAUGAAAACCCCAUAUCAUGUUGUAGAGAAACCAGCAAAUACAGGGUCAGAGUUGAAAAGAUUGUGAGCUAUGUGUAUCAAGCUGAACCACUAUGCCCUAUCAAAGCUAUAAGGUUUAAUUUGGUACAUAGCAAAACAAUAUGCUCUAAUCCAGCAGAUCCUUGGGCCAAACAUGCCAUAAAGGAACUGGAUAGAAGAACAACCACAAAAGCGCUCGAUACCCCACCAUCAACGGCGGUACUUGGAUUCCCCAUAUCAUGUUGUACAGAAACCAAGCGAACCAAUGUCAGAGUUGAAAAAAUUGUGAACUAUGUGCAUCAAGAUUAUCCACAAUGCCCUAUCAAAGCUGUAAGGUUUAAUCUGGUAAACAGCAUAACAGUAUGCUCUAAUCCAGAGGAUCCUUGGGCCAAACAUGCCAUAAAGGUAGUGGAUAGUCGACCACAAACACAAAAAUGCCCAAUACCCCAUCGACUUCUAUAAGCUGUACAACAACUACUACAAGCACAUCUACACCAGGAAUAAGUCCAACAAAUACAAUAACCACGACAACACCUAAAGGAACAUCAACUACAUGGAAAACAACAACAUACAUCACUCAUACAUCUUCGACCAAACAACCACUUGGACAACAACUGCCUCAAUGGACAACAACGCAAAUUAUGACAGCAAAGAUGACUACUACUACGGCUAGGAAGCCAGUGAUAACUGAUAACAAGACGACUUCCACGACUAUAAACAGCUAUACAAACUAUACAGAAACAACUAUAACACCACCAACCACAAGUACAACAUCCAUCAAACAUAUAUUACUGAUACCAGAGCAAUCUAGGACAACUACCAAGUUACCACUAUGGCCAAUAAUGCCAAGCAACACUGAGAGAUCAUUAAAUGACAGAAAGAGCACCUCAAGAACACCCAAUAAUACACCAACACAAAUGUCUACAAGUUUGACCACUGAAAAAUGGAGAGAAUCCACUAUAUCACCUACACCUAUACCAGAGACAUAUAAAUAUACAAAAAGCACAGUGACCAUGACUGACAGCACACAAUCUACAACAUACAUCAAUCAUACAUCACUGAUGACGGAAUCUUCUCGGAAAAUCAAAACGCAAAACACCAAAAAACCAGAAUCUAAUGAAAAUAGAAAGCAAAAGACGAUCGUGAUAUCCCAAAUACCAGAGAAGGAAAGGGAAGCACUGGACUGGACAGAACAUUUUUGUCAGUGGUCAGAGAUACAAGAAACACGGUAUUGUUCCUUUUACUAUGAUUAGCCUGAAUUUAUUUAUGAUUUUCUAGUCACACGGUUUUGGAGAUUUACUGAAAAGUAUGCACAUUUGUAAAUUAGUCUUUUAAUGCUUAAUAUAAAUGUAACAUUAUGCUUAUUUAUGCCACGAUCAAGCCAAUAAACCUGUAUGACUAAAAUGAGGGGACUAUUAAAAAAAUUUUUUUUAGAAUAAUUAGAAAUGUUAGCUUGUG